CCUACGGGAGGCUGCAGUGGGGAAUAUUGGACAAUGGGCGAAAGCCUGAUCCAGCCAUGCCGCGUGUGUGAAGAAGGCCUUCGGGUUGUAAAGCACUUUCAGUGGGGAAGAAAGCCUUGGGGCUAAUACCCUCGAGGAAGGACAUCACCCACAGAAGAAGCACCGGCUAACUCCGUGCCAGCAGCCGCGGUAAUACGGAGGGUGCGAGCGUUAAUCGGAAUUACUGGGCGUAAAGCGCGCGUAGGCGGUCUGAUAAGCCGGUUGUGAAAGCCCCGGGCUCAACCUGGGAACGGCAUCCGGAACUGUCAGGCUAGAGUGCAGGAGAGGAAGGUAGAAUUCCCGGUGUAGCGGUGAAAUGCGUAGAGAUCGGGAGGAAUACCAGUGCCGAAGGCGGCCUUCUGGACUGACACUGACGCUGAGGUGCGAAAGCGUGGGUAGCAAACAGGAUUAGAUACCCGUGUAGUC
Molecule: ribosomal RNA, 465 nt
Filed under: Vreelandella stevensii
Lineage: Bacteria; Pseudomonadati; Pseudomonadota; Gammaproteobacteria; Oceanospirillales; Halomonadaceae
Description: partial 16S ribosomal RNA
Rfam family: Bacterial small subunit ribosomal RNA
Source: RNAcentral